UACGGGGGGAGCAAGCGUUGUUCGGAUUUACUGGGCGUAAAGGGCGCGUAGGCGGCCACCGCAAGUCGACUGUGAAAUCUCUGGGCUUAACCCAGAAAGGUCAGCCGAUACUGCGGGGCUAGAGUGCAGAAGGGGCAACUGGAAUUCUCGGUGUAGCGGUGAAAUGCGUAGAUAUCGAGGGGAACACCUGCGGCGAAGGCGGGUUGCUGGGCUGACACUGACGCUGAGGCGCGAAAGCUAGGGGAGCGAACGGG
RNAcentral lists this ribosomal RNA (254 nucleotides) under uncultured bacterium. RNAcentral describes it as "partial 16S ribosomal RNA". It matches the Rfam family "Bacterial small subunit ribosomal RNA", at positions 524 to 776 of the family's 1533-position model. The record is from RNAcentral.